Long non-coding RNA from Homo sapiens (human), 3965 nucleotides. Lineage: Eukaryota; Metazoa; Chordata; Mammalia; Primates; Hominidae. The record is from Ensembl.
UGCUCUGGGACCUUAACCCUAAGAAAAGCUAUGAAACUAUUGCUACCUCUGCGCAUGAUCAUCUUCAUGAUACUCAUGCUCUAAUUGAUCAUGACACUGUGUCCCAGAUUUGUCCUUAGAAUCCUUUUCAUCAUGCUACAUGUAGCCACUAAUUUUCAGUUGCAUUUGCUACAAGAGAAGCCCAUUCAGCAUGGUUUGUUCAAAUGGGGGAGGGGGCUAGGAGGCUGGGAGGAGGCAGGGGUAAGGGAAGGGAUUCAUUAACAAGAGGGGACCAGGCACAGAGGAAGAGGGAGUCCUACAGGCAUAAAGAAUGCUAAAUUUGAAAAGAGCAAAGAGUUUUCAACACCGUAAGAAAGAAAAAAAGUUUACCAAAUCUGAUGGCCUUUUUCCUUUCAUAGUUACACCAAUACUAUACGUGUCAUACUUAAGAAUAUUUGUUCUUAUAAGAAAAGAACACAAUAGACUUGAAGUCUGGAGAUCAAAUGUUAUUCCUGUUUUACUUCAACUAACCACUCUGGUUGACCUGGUACUUUCCUUUGAGGUUUUCUUUUAUGUAUUUGUUUUACUGUAUAUUUAAAUACACACAUGUGUGUAUGUAUGUGUGUAUCUGUUCCUGCUAACAAAAGCAAUUUAUUCUUAUUUUGAAAUUUCAACUAUUAGUAAGACAUAUAAUGGAAAAAAUAAGUAAAGAUCCCCCAUAAUAUCUCUCCUAGAGAAAAACCACUCAGUGAUUUGGUGUCCAUUCCUUCAUUUUUUUUUUCUAUUAACAUUUAGUUUAGUCUUUUUAACAACUGCAUAGUAUUCCACUAUUAGAAUGCAUCAUAUUUUAUUUAACCACUACUGAUGGACUUUUGAGUUGGGGACAGUAUUGUCUUAUUACAAGUAGUGCUUUAGUAAACAUCCUAAUAUAUAUGUUUUUGUGCAUUUGUGCAAGUAUUUCUCCAGAGAAAAUUUCUAUAAGUGAAAUUGCAGGAUUGGAGAGUAUGCACACUUAAAGUUUUAAUAGAUCUCCAAAUACGUCAUAUCAAGGUAGACUCUCAGUAGCAGUGUAUUAGACUGCAUAUUUCUGGUUUGUUUUUUAAGGAACAUGAAAACAAUGAGAAAAAGUGUUUAAAGAUUAGGCUCCUAUAUUCUUAGGCCACAGUACUUAAUAGGCAAAAAAUAAUCAUGUCUCCAAGGGGAGUAAUAUCACAGCUGUGGGUUGUCAGGACGUCACAACCAGUAACAAAUCUCACAAUGUACCUUCUUGUACAUUUCAUUGAUUUCUGAGAUUCCUCAGCAUUAUUGGAAUGGAAGAAUACGAUAGUAUUUAUAUGGUUUCACAUUAAAAAGUGAGAUAAAAGGAGGAAAGUAAAACUUGUUUAUGUUGUAAUUUUUAUUCCUUGCUUCAUCUUCAGUUCUAACGCUCAGUCUCAAGAUCAGGACAGCACAUUAUUGGUAAUAAUGUAAUAUAAAAAUUUAGGUUCCUAAAAGUGACAACCUAUUUUCUUCACCAAGUAUCAGUGUUUAAGAAAAAACAACUAAACAACAAAUUUGGGUAGAAAAACAUAUGCCUCUUCAAAAUUACUUAUUGUUUUUAGUUUAAACACUUACAACACUGCCUAGCCUUGUGUGACUUUUGUAUAAAAUAGUGAGCAAGUGUGGCCUAGUGGACAAUAUACUAAUUAAUAGCUAAUACUAAUAACUACUACUAUUUUUGAGUACUAACACAGGCACUGUGUUAAGUGUUUUACAAGAAUUAUCUCAUUUAAUCUUCAUUAUAACCAUAUGACAUGAGAGCUAUUAUUAUCCCAUCUACAGAUACAACAUAUAGUUUUUUCCUGAUAAGCACUUUAAGCACAGUUACAAAUACAGAUGCUUUGGACAGUGAUUUAUAAUGCUGGAAAGUGCCUUAAAGCUCAUCUUCCUCUUAUAACUCAUUUUUCCCUUGGAAGGCGAUACUGAUUGAUUACAUCUUUACUUUUCCUACCUUCGGUAUUGUGAGGAUUAAACAUUACACAAAAAUAGGACAUGCAAUUCGUUCUGGAUUUAUUUGACAAUGAAGGGGAGAACGGUGGAUCUUCUCAGCUGGGAUUGAGCAGGGAUCUGAGCCAGCCUCAGAAGCUGGAAUCCUGCCCAUAGGGUGGCCCUGUUUCACUUCCUUGCUAAUGCCCAGGUGGGCACAACGUGGCUCUACUCUUCAAAAGUUCUCUUAACACAGGAGAGGUCUCAAGCUAGCCCUAAACAAGCAAUAGGAUUAGAUCCUUGAUGCUCAUGGAUAAACCAUCCUGAGGACAAUUUACCUCAUUGAUGAAUUACUGUUGGGCAAUUUAUGAGUUGUACUAUAAUGUGAAAGUGAGGGAGAAGAAAGCCUCAAUGUACAGUAAACACAGAAUUUGGCAGAAAGGGAUCCAUGUAGGAAAAGAAGCCCGCGAAUCUUAGUAGGUACAUGCUGGGCACAGCAUGGGCAAUAAAUUUUGAGGUCUGUAGAAGAAAAAAUUGUAUCACUGAGAUAAAGUAAAAGAAGAGAGAAAAUGAUGUGAAUGCACAAAGAGGGAUUAACAUUCGUUCCGCUUCAAUACAAAAGUAUAUUGUGCUUGUAUUGAAAUAUCAAUUUUGAACAAUACUUCAUCUGCGCCCCAGGCUAUUCGUAAUAAAGAUGUCCUCCUUGGAGCAUAAUGAAGAAGUCUCAGAAAGUUAGCAGUUAGAGGGAAGAUGAUAAUCAAUCAGCCUUGACGCAAUUUGAUCAAAAGUAAUGAAAGAGAUGGAGAGUAGGCGAGUGUUCUGAGCAGCAAACACUUAAGGAAAGAGCAUUCGUUUUUACUGGUGUAACCUUUGGUAUUUAAUGCAUUUACAAAUGAGAAUCUCAUCUCUGCCUGCCAUUCUUCUUUGUUUAAAUAUUGGUUGUUUAUUAAACUCAAUUCCUUAACAAAGUAUUCAGUAUCUAGUCAUGCUUUUAUGUAAGAAAAGAUUCUCCAAAAAAGAUAUAUUUUAGAAAUUGAUUUCUGAACUUUAGGUUUCACACUAUCAUCCCUUUCAGGGCCAGAAAGCAAUUAGCUUUCUGUCAAACUGGGAAGUUAAUCUGGAAUGUUUUCAGGAUGCUCAAGUUCCUGCAAGCUUUAUACCUAAAGCAGAUUCGCAGCUGUUCAGAGAACAACCUUUGAAGUAAUCAUGCUUUGCUAGCAUCUCAGAUGUUUUGCUUUGAUCUGCAGGUACCAUUUUUCCUAAAAAAAAAACUUUCUUAUGAUUGUUGUAUUUCUUGUCACCAAACAUUUAAGUUCUGCAAUGUCCAUAUUCCUGUAAACCAAGGUUGACAUAUAUGGGCAAAUAUUUUGCCAGUUGUGUUGUUUUUGGUAAUAUACAAGUAAGAGAAACAAUAUCACUGAAGCUGUGUUUUCUUUUAAAUUCUCAUUAAAAUUCAUUUUGAUUAUAUAGUAAUUUUAUAUUUUCCUUUCAUGUUCACAUUCUGGAAUUUGAAUAAGAAAGAUGAAGUCAUUUAUCUGCAAACUUUAUGCAAAAUGAGAAAAAGAACAAACAAUUUCUUAAUGAGUUUUAUUCCUAUCAUUGUUACAGCAUAGGUUUUAGGAAGUUUUGUAUAAAAGUAUUUGAUAACUAAUAUAUGUUUAACAAUUAAUGAAAUAUUUACUAAUUAUCUUGCAUAUGAAAUGGUAUUUAUAAAAUGUGAUGGAGAAGGAAAAAAAGAAAAGUGAAAAGGAAACAAGCAAGGAAGGGAGAAAAGGAAGAAACGCUAACAAGAGAAGAUGGAAGUAAAAGAGAAAACAGCUAAAGUCAGGAAAGAAAACAAAAAGAAAGAAGAUCAAAGAAAAGGAGGGAGACAAAAAGAAAAAAAGGCAAAAUUGAAGUGAUUAUUUUCUACAAAUCUCAUUGAGUUAUUGCUAUUAAUAUAUAUUUCUGUAUGUGUAUAAAUGUAUAUAUACACAUAUAUACAUAUACUUCUUUAAAUAAAUGUCUUUAUUUCCUGAGUA